Molecule: ribosomal RNA, 395 nt
Filed under: uncultured bacterium
Lineage: Bacteria
Description: bacterial SSU rRNA
Rfam family: Bacterial small subunit ribosomal RNA
Source: RNAcentral
GACGAACGCUGGCGGCGCGCCUAACACAUGCAAGUCGAGCGGGAAGUCUUUUUAAGGAUUCUUCGGAUGAAUUAAAAGUGGAGAGCGGCGGACGGGUGAGUAACGCGUGAGAAACCUGCCCUAUACAGGGGGAUAGCCAUUGGAAACGAUGAUUAAUACCCCAUAUGACCACAGUAUCGCAUGAUACAGCGGUAGAAAACUCCGGUGGUAUAGGAUGGUCUCGCGUCUGAUUAGCUAGUUGGUGGGGUAACGCCUACCAGGCGACGAUCAGUAGCCGGCCUGAGAGGGUGACCGGCCACACUGGAACUGAGACACGGUCCAGACUCCGUACGGGAGGCAGCAGGUGGGGAAUAUUGCAACAAGUGGGACGAAAGCCUGAUGCAGCGACGCCGCGU